UAAUAAAUGAACAACUUAUUUCAAGGCAGCCGACUGAGGCAAAUGUCUUGAGAAUUGAACCACAUGAACUGUUUUAGAUCUUAUGAUGAAGUGUGAUGAACGGUGAUCAUUAGUGAUGGGUUGUUGUAAUGAAAGUGUACUAUUAUAAGAUGAAGACUUAAACGAUGUAUGCUUUGUUGGGUUCACUCAUUGAGGCAUAAAGCCACUUUAUCUGUAUUGAGUGCAUUGGAAUGUGAGGGACAGCUAGGUCAGAGAGGUUUCAGGUUACGGCUGCAGCUUCACACCUCGACGUGGAAGGGACAAUGGAGGAGGUGACCCUUUGGAGAAGAGGCCAAUGACAUUCAAAUGCACCAAAGAAGACACACCUCAAGAGGUUUCAAAGGACCAUGGCGGGGAAAAGACUGUUAGAUCUUCUCCUGCAGCCGCGUUGAUAAGUCACUUUAGACUUGCUCAGAGAAUUCUCUAUUUCGCGAAAUAUUCCACUGUUCGCUUAGUAUUUCACUUUGUAAUUGUAAUCCCUAUUACGUUGUUCAGUUAUUAAAUAACUUUUGAUUUUUGAAUUUAAACGAAUUGACUCAUUCGUGUCCUCGUUUCCGGCCGGGACGAGAACAAAGGAUUGAGUCCUCCCUCGAGAGCUUCCGAAACCUUAACAGUUGGCGCCCAACGUGGGGCUCUCGUUGGGGGAAGGCGUUGCUGAGAGGUUUGACUGCAGGUACCACGGGUACAAACAAGAGGACCCAUCCAAACAACGACAAAGAAGGAGAGGUUGCUGAUGGAGGACGUCAUCACAAUAGACAUUGUAUCCUGGUGAAGAAGGCUCCAGACCGCUAUGCAGACUACAUUCUCCCGGUAAGAAAUGAGCCACCUGCAGCCUCCCCUGUCCCACAGUGCCCACUACUGAGAAAAGCCAACGGUCAGAGCGAGUUUGUGCCCUGGAGUCAUCGGGACAUGGAAGCGCUGGAGAAGGGACUGCCGCCAUUGGGAGAAGGAGCUAACCCAUGGAUCCUGCUCUUUGAAAAAUACACAAUAGGUGAUAAGUUGGCACUUGGAGAUAUGAGGGCCUUAAUAGCCCGUCUAGAGGGAACAGUCAACCUAAGAGCCUUAGAAGCAAGAGCGGGAACCACCAACCAAGAGGAUGAGGCUCCAUUUGAUAAGGUCAGAGGAGUAUUUUGGGCCACAAUGCGAAACAUCUGGCCUACAAAGCCAAGUAUGUCCAUCCUGAUGGGUCUGAGUAUGAAACAAGGUGAAGACAUCUCUCAAUAUGUGAGGAGAGCAGAAACAGAAUGGCAUUUGGCCACAGGAGAAAGACACGACAAUAACAAAUCUACUGCAGUAAUCUGGCGACACACUGUGCAGCAAGGCUUGCCCCAGGCUGUUCAAACAGCGUUGGAGGGAGUAGUGGGACUGGACGACAUGGAUGAAAGCACAUGGAGAGACCAUCUAACCCACUUAUACAAAAUACAGAGAGCUGCGGAGACAAGGAGGCAAGAAGAACUGGGGACGAUGACGCAUCGACUCCUGAAGAUCCAACUGGCAGCAGCAGAUGCAGAAGCAACGAAAAAACAGAGAGUCAGGAAACAACUGUCGGUGAGAGAUGAACAACCUCAAUACCCUGUUCCUCCAGAAGCCACAUAUCCAACCGUAGGUCCAGCAGUGAGAAACCAAUUGAGAGGAUACCAGCAACCACCAAAGUACAGAGGGAGAGACAGAGGCCGUGAAUAUAACCGAGGGAGUGGAUUCUACCAAGGAGGGUACGGGGGUGAUGUGUGUUUUAUAUGUGGGCAGGUGGGACAUUGGUCAAGAACGUGUCCAGUGAAAUAUGAAGGGAACACACGGUCAAAUGCUCCUCCAAGAAGGUUUCCCAACUCACUGCAGCCCAGGCAGAACCAGAGGUUGGGCACACCCCAGCCUCCACCUCCCCAUAUGUGGUGACCACAGCAACAGAUGCCACUUGCUUUGAUGGAGACAAAGCAGACGAGCCCUAAACAACUACGGUUUACGACUCACAUUCCAGGAAGAGGAGACUAGAGAUUAUACACUGCUGAGAGUGUCAGCUGAAACUAGACUUAAACCCGUAGGGAAGAUUGAUUUUAAAAAGAGGAAAUCAGUCAUUGAAAAUUAAGAUACAAGGUUGUGUAAGAUUUAAAGGAGGAAUGAAGGUGAUAAGGAAUUAGGAGAGUUGUUGUAUAUAUUGUCAAUUUUUUGGAUUAAUGUUUGUAGUUUUUCGAGUUUUCUCCUGAAUUCAGAGAUGGGCGGUAAAUUGUUGAGUGCUGCUAUUGAGUGUAUAGUGCACGAUACACUUGAUACAGUAUCUUGAUGAUUGAAGCAAAUGUCUGAUCAAAGGAACAUUUAUAGCACCAGUACACGAAAUAUGGAAAUUUGUUACAGACGGUCAUCCUGUAAUGUUCAACAAGUAGUACACCCUUACAUUUGGAUACGCUAACCAUGAGAGGUUGGUGAUCUAUCAGUAAUGAAUGAAUGGAUUGGAUCAAACUAAGCAUGAGCUGAGUUUGUGUUUGCAGGUAACAGACACGUCUCCCACCCUCUGCUUUGCUUUUGGGCUGAAGAGCAAUAAAAGUGGAGAUUAACACUGGAGGGGGGUCUGGAACAGAUGGGUCUGAUGCUAAGUUGAUUUAUUAUCUCCUGGUACUUUUUGGGAUCAAGGGACUCACAAUCUUCAUUGUUGUUUUAUGACCCUGAAGGGUUUGGAGAACCUUUGUUGAUAUCACCGGGGUUUGAGGUUCACAUUCUGAUACAUUGAUUGAAGUUUUAGAGACUGAUACUGCAAAUGCUCGACCACUUGUGAAAGUGGUCACAAAGGUCAGCAAAUUGACUGUAAUGAUGGAGGCCUUCAGUGAGGCCGUCGAAUGGUUUAUUUUAAUGGGGAAGUAAGCAAAAAUGGGAAAACAGGUUGAAGAGUUAUGCAGUAAUGCACAGGUUUUCAAAGGUGAUGACACAUUAUGACAGAGCAAACAGGCUGAAGGUAAAAGGAGAAGAAAUUGACUGUGAGGGUGAGAAUGUGAGGUAACAUUUUUGUGUAAACUUGGUAUGAGCAGAUUGCUUUGAGGUUAGAAUGAACAAAGAGAACUUGGUUGGUCAAUUAGUUGAUGAAGACAUGGAACAGUCAUACACCAUGAGGGUGAGACCUACAAGGAAAACUCAAAGGGAUCAUUGAACGGGGACACGAAGGCAAUGUUGGUGUUAAUUUUUCAUGAGUUGACUAUGGGGGUCAAUAAUCAGUUAUGUCGAAGAUUCCAAAUUUCUAUAAAUAAAUGGCUCCUCAAAUCGGUUGGAAACAAGGCCGUUUGAGAAAGGCAAUUUUCCAAAACAAUGUGUAAAUACUCUAGGAGCAGAUAAAGAUAUGCAGAGGCAUUCUUUACGUCAACGCAUCACAUUUUUCAUUCAGCUGAGGCUCUAAUCCAAAGCGACUUGCAGGAAGUGAAUUUGAACAAGAGGGAACAGAACCAAAACAGCAAGAACAAAGAAGGGAUUUCUCCUUCUAAGAAAGCAACAUUCGUGAGUGUCAUCCAGGUGCUAAUUCUUCGGUUGUAGUAGUAGGUAGGUAUGUGUGUUUAUUAUGUUCAUUAGGGAAUUCCUUCCACCAUCAGGUGAACAUCAGGAGUCAGGACAAAUGAUGACUUUGUUGGGAGUUUAGCUCCCAGUAGGAGAAACAACAGGCAGAUGCUGAGAUGGGAGUGAAUUAGGGACGAGGAUAGAUUACAAAGGGGAUGCAGAGGUUGAAAGGUGAUGGCGACUCAUGGUCGAGGAGGGAGUGAGCAGACCUCCCUAAAACAACAACUGAUAAGAGGAGGAAUCCUGGGGAAGUGUCGGAGCCAUAAAAUCCAUCCACAGGUUGUAUUUCAUCUCAGAGUCACCCAACAGGUUUAAGAAUCACUCACGGUUGGUAUGGGGGGAAUUAUUUCACUAUGAUAAAUUUACUGACACAUUUUUCCUCGAAUACAUGUGCAUGGCAAUUGUUAACUAUGUUUUGCUUUUCAGCUAGGAGCAGGCGACUCCAAUGCGAGACGGUCCAGAUCGGCAACGACACCCAGUAGAAACGGCGUUGUGGGGGUUUUACGACGUUGUUAGAUAAGCCAGGAGGUGGCCUGGGGUUGAUUAGCAUCACCAAAGGCUAUGUGAAGGGAUGCUUUUACACCUACCUCAACAUGAGGGACUGGGGGAGAACAGAAUACAACUAGAGUAUCUGCCGAUUUGGGAACAUUAUUGCAUGCAGUGAAAAACACAAUCAUAAGAUUCUAAACAACAGAGAUGUGUAGAUGACAUUGAUUUAAGGUGUUAAGAAGAACAUACAGUCGUUCUAUCAAUGAAACAACUCACAAAUUGAUUAGAAUGUUUUUAGGAAAACACUAGAUGUUAGAGUUUAGCUACUCAAGUGGCAUUUUAGGGAUAACAGCAGACGAUGGCCAACGCAGGAAGAUCCAACAUGACUUUUCUUCCUGGAACGAAUGUGCAAUGACAUUGCUCUUCUCAUACACUGACACAAGGACUGAUGAGACACACAGAUGAUACAAUUACUCCACAUUAAAAGAAAUAGCUAAAACUGGGAAAUAAGUGGGUGAAAUGUUGAGUUCCAGUUAUGUUUAAAUAUGCACACACUAGAUGGUAGAACUUGUUUGCUUGAAGAGUUUGGUAAACCAGAAGAAAGAGCAACAGGAAUUGGGAGAACACACACACACUCACACUCACACGCAUACACUCACACGCACAUCUAGACACACCUACACACACCCACACACAUAGCUGCACCACUUGUGCUUCUCUAUUCAACAGCCGAUUGGGGAAUCUUGUCCUAAUGGGACCUCCGGUUAGCAGAGUAGUCUGCUCACAGGAACUGAGGUGAUUCGAGGUCCAAGGAGGGAGCGUGAAGCUUAAUCACACGUCUAGGAUGACAGCUACGUGUCAUCUGACCAAACCGCUGACAACAACAGAUGUUCCAACAGAGGAACAUCAAGGAGGAGAAGUAUAGGCACACACAUACAACGAAGAAAUCCACAAACACUGAGCUAAUGUGACACACAAUUUCCAGAUUAGAGAAGGAACGGGAACUGCUGGGACACUUGAUAAACACAUAUGAUAAGAAUGUUCAGGAUGCAAACAUACGCCAACGAUAUUACAGUAACAGAAUUUGAGGAUUUUGAGUUCAGAGCGUCUAUUCGGUUGCAAUGACCAAUCAUCACCAAGAUAAAACUAAGUAGCAUUAGACACAUUCACUGGGAACAUUUGGACAGAAGGAGGGGAGAGAAGUCCACCAUUUCAUAGAAUUGUGCCUAUUCAGAUAACUACAGCAUUGUCUCGGUUGAAAGGCAUAUAUCAUAGUAAGAAUUGAAAGUAAGAAUUGUUUUUAGGAGGCUAGAAGUUCUUGUAUGUGUUGUUUCUAUUUCACUCCAAACAGAGCUGAGAUCAUUAUUCAAUGCAGGUGGAUCCACACGACAACAAGUGGAGAGAUGGUGUCCAUUUAUGGAGGGAGAGUAAAAUAUGAAGGGCAAGGUCUCAACCAUUGACCCACUGGUUAUGUUCUCCUCCUCAACAUGUGUUUUCAACUUGAAGCAUCACUGUGGCACCGCCACAUAUAGAGCAGUUAUUCUGUUUGUUGAUGUCAUCCCUCCAGAAACAAACAGGGAUGUGAGCAUCACUUGAAAGACACAUCCAGAGCUGCCCCUGGGGGUGGGGUGAAUAUAUGUCCUAUAGUGUUUUUUUCUUUAGUUUCAGAUACCCUGUCCCUAUAUAAUGUGUUGAUACGUGUUGAACUCUAAGCGACUGAGACCAGAUUCACUAAGAGAUCCAGGGGGACAUCUUCAGGAGGGUUACCAACAGCAGCCAUGUGGGAGAAAGAUUGAAUAAGGAAUUAUGUGUUACUAACUACACUGAUUCCUCCGGGGAAACUCACGGUUUACCAAUGACACUGAUGCGGUUAACAGUAGACACAGUUACUGGUAGUUAAGAGCACAUCACCAGGAAUAAACACCACCAGAGAAAGCCUUAAGAAGAAAGACAGAUCUACAUUAGUCUGAAGGUCACAUAAAUAAGCGAAAAGGAUGCUAAGAAGGUGCCAAGGAGGGUGCCAGAUGAUGUUGAAUUCCAGAAUCAGAUCACAGCUGAAUUUGUGGACAAUAAUAAAAUGUUGAUAGGAUGAAACUGCAUUUAAUGACAGACAGGUGCUACAAAUGAAGACCUGCAUGAGUCAUUGGAUGAAAUGAGACUCAUGGCCUAGAAUAAUAAAGUGGCUUUAGACAUGAUGUUAGCUGGAAACGGUAACUUCUGCAAAAUGUUUGGAUCUGUUUGUUGUGCGAUCAUCUCCAACAACACAGCUCCUGGUGGCUUGGUGGCCAGAGCACAAGCCCCACUGACAGCUCGAACCAGCAGCUGACAGACAACUAAGGCGACGACAAUCCUCUCACCAACGGGUUUGUCAGUAUUAUAGCACAACGGAAAAGUGCAUUCCUGUCUGCGUUAACCCUUCUUAUGUUACAGUCAUGAUCUAGUCCACUACGGAUGAAGCUGCAUCUCCUGCAUCCUUGGAUUCCUGCAGGGAUUGACCGAUAUUGUGUUUAGUGAGACUAGUAUACAGGGAAAUCUGUAGCGAGUAGAUGAUGAGGGACAAUCACUGUUGACGGAUGUGACUGUAUGAUAAUUUUUCUGUCUUUGAGGGAUGCUCACAGUGAACUGUGAGCAAGGAGGGAAUUGUUAGGGAUUUAAGCCAGAAGUGCACCCCUAGUCAGGAAAUUAUAGUACGUGUAAUAAUGUUUAGUGAUAGAAUUAUAGUUUGUGUGAUGUUAGAUUAGUUAUUACAUUAACAUGUUAGAUGAAGUGAAUACAAUGUGAAUCAAACACAGUAUAUAGUCUUUUAAAACGUAGAAACACACUACACAUUUACAUUCUGUUACAAUGUGAUGUUAAAACCUGGGGACGGAUGCCAAUUGCCGUUCUUUAUGGAUUUCUCCCAAUUUUAUCCCCAAAAAGGGUUUUUUGGGAGUUUUUUCUCCUGUCAGGUAAUAAAUGAACAACUUAUUUCAAGGCAGCCGACUGAGGCAAAUGUCUUGAGAAUUGAACCACAUGAACUGUUUUAGAUCUUAUGAUGAAGUGUGAUGAACGGUGAUCAUUAGUGAUGGGUUGUUGUAAUGAAAGUGUACUAUUAUAAGAUGAAGACUUAAACGAUGUAUGCUUUGUUGGGUUCACUCAUUGAGGCAUAAAGCCACUUUAUCUGUAUUGAGUGCAUUGGAAUGUGAGGGACAGCUAGGUCAGAGAGGUUUCAGGUUACGGCUGCAGCUUCACACCUCGACGUGGAAGGGACAAUGGAGGAGGUGACCCUUUGGAGAAGAGGCCAAUGACAUUCAAAUGCACCAAAGAAGACACACCUCAAGAGGUUUCAAAGGACCAUGGCGGGGAAAAGACUGUUAGAU
Gasterosteus aculeatus aculeatus (three-spined stickleback) is the source of this 7421-nucleotide long non-coding RNA. The record is from Ensembl. NCBI's taxonomy places the organism in Eukaryota, Metazoa, Chordata, Actinopteri, Perciformes, Gasterosteidae.